CUCUUCAAGUGGAUCAAUGAGUGUCCAUACACCAUUGAUCGUCAUGGACUCCAUUUUCGACUCUAUGACUCCAAGCCAUUAAUCAGAGUCAAACCUCUGCAUGGCAUCCAUAUAGGUGAUUAGAUCUUUAUCGUUCUUAUCGAGUUCAACAGGAUCACGUCCCAAAUCUAGAAACUGAAGUCUCUAUCCGAUGGAUGUAGUACUCUAUC
Molecule: long non-coding RNA, 209 nt
Filed under: Elaeis guineensis (African oil palm)
Lineage: Eukaryota; Viridiplantae; Streptophyta; Magnoliopsida; Arecales; Arecaceae
Description: long non-coding RNA (EGUI_LNC051269)
Source: RNAcentral